CCUGGUGUCUAUGGCGAUGUGGCUCCACCCUGACCCUUCCCGAACUCAGGUGUGAAACGCAUCUGCGGCAAAGAUAGUUGGACGGCUGCGUCCCGCAAAAAUAGCUCGAUGCCAGGA
Molecule: ribosomal RNA, 117 nt
Organism: Oscillatoriales cyanobacterium
Lineage: Bacteria; Bacillati; Cyanobacteriota; Cyanophyceae; Oscillatoriales
Source: Rfam